GGGUAACUCAUUUUUCAUCUAAACGGUUAACAAUUAAUUUUAAUUUUCUUUUAAGUUUUUCUUGUUACUGAUUGAAUUUAACUUUAUUUUUACUUAAUUAUUGAUCGAGUGUACUGUUUGAAUUUUAUUGUGAACCUUUAUUGUUGAUAGAAUUUAGAAAAUCAAUGAGAAAAUUAAUGGUCAAGAUUCAUCGUUUGGGUUGUGUUGAUCUGCUUUUUUUGGUAGAAUAAAUUUUCUCAUGUCUUAGUUAUCGUUAUUGGUCAUUUUCAGUGUUAAUUAACAUAAUUUACAAGCUUCUGGCAAAACUGGUCAAGUUAAUUUUUCUCUCUCAGGCCUGAGAGAGAAUAAAAAAACUGUUUUGAUCUUUUUUCAAGUGAUGAGACAAACGGUAAUCACAUGAGGAGAGAUACAUCAUAGUUAAUUCACAAGUUCUUAAAGAUUCAAGGCACACCCAACGUCCAGUUCUUCAGACAAUAAUUGAUUUCAUUGGAGAACCAAACUAAUCAUCAUUAUUUCUCUUGAAAUUGGUCAAUUCAUGGUUAAACAAGCUGCUAAAUUUACACAGCCUUCUAUUAUUCAUUCACUCAUCAAAUAAUUUCCUCUUGACUCUUGACCAUAUCAUCUUGGCUUCAAAACGAGAGAGAGAGAGAGAGAGAGAGAGAGAGAGAGAGAGAGUAAACAAUCAACAACCAUGUACACAUACAUUGGAUAAUUAAAACAAUAUUGUCAUGAUGAUGAAAGAAAACAAAAGCCUCUACAAAAAAAGGAAGGAUAUGGAAUCCACCCCACCCUCAAUAACCAUCAUUCGAAGCCGUAAAAUUUAUCUCUAUCAUCAGCAUCUUCAUCUAAUAUUGAAGAAGACACAAAGUUACCAUUAUCAUGGGGACAAAUAAACACACACAAUAACAGAGUAACUGGUAAACAAAUGGAAAUGGAAAUGGAAAUGAUUGAGAAAAACAACGAGAAAUAAGGGAGAAUAAGGUGAGGUCGAAUACGAGUGUAAACACCGGGUUGUUUAGGGCAUCCACAGCAAGGUAAACCAUACGAAGCAACACCAACAACAACCCAUUUAUUUUGGGUAUUUAUCAUAAUUGGUCCACCACUAUCACCCUACAGUAGAUUGGAUAACUUGUAAUACUAUAUUUUGUUUACUAUCAAUUGGAUAAUUUUGUAUCGGUUCCACCUUCUUCAUAACCUGCACACAUGAGGGAGUCUGGAAAAUUACUGAUCUUCAACCAAUCUGAACAAGUUGGAUUUGAAAGUAACGGAAUUUGAGCCUCUUUAAGUACAUAUGGAUUACCAGUUGAUUGAG
Molecule: long non-coding RNA, 1312 nt
Organism: Panonychus citri (citrus red mite)
Lineage: Eukaryota; Metazoa; Arthropoda; Arachnida; Trombidiformes; Tetranychidae
Exons: 7
Source: RefSeq, a predicted model, not a curated record